Molecule: ribosomal RNA, 1350 nt
Filed under: uncultured bacterium
Lineage: Bacteria
Description: bacterial SSU rRNA
Rfam family: Bacterial small subunit ribosomal RNA
Source: RNAcentral
UACAUGCAAGUCGAACGGUAAAUAGUGUAGCAAUAUCUAUGAGAGUGGCGCACGGGUGAGUAACGCGUAUGCAACCUACCUUUAACUGGGGGAUAGCUCAGAGAAAUCUGAAUUAAUACCGCAUAAUAUUAUUGAAUGGCAUCAUUUAAUAAUCAAAACUCCGGUGGUUAAAGAUGGGCAUGCGUGACAUUAGCUAGUUGGUAAGGUAACGGCUUACCAAGGCUACGAUGUCUAGGGGGUCUGAGAGGAUGAUCCCCCACACUGGUACUGAGACACGGACCAGACUCCUACGGGAGGCAGCAGUAAGGAAUAUUGGUCAAUGGAGGCAACUCUGAACCAGCCAUGCCGCGUGAAGGAUGACGGCCCUAUGGGUUGUAAACUUCUUUUAUACGGGAAGAAACCCUGAUACGUGUAUCAGGUUGACGGUACUGUAAGAAUAAGGACCGGCUAACUUCGUGCCAGCAGCCGCGGUAAUACGAAGGGUCCAAGCGUUAUCCGGAUUUAUUGGGUUUAAAGGGUGCGUAGGCGGCUUAUUAAGUCAGUGGUGAAAGACUUCAGCUUAACUGAAGAACUGCCAUUGAUACUGAUGAGCUUGAGUGUACUUGAGGUGGGCGGAAUGUGUCAUGUAGCGGUGAAAUGCUUAGAUAUGACACAGAACACCGAUUGCGAAGGCAGCUCGCUAAAGUACAACUGACGCUGAGGCACGAAAGCGUGGGGAGCAAACAGGAUUAGAUACCCUGGUAGUCCACGCCCUAAACGUUGAUAACUCGAUGUGUGCGAUAUACUGUACGCGUCUAAGCGAAAGCAUUAAGUUAUCCACCUGGGAAGUACGGUCGCAAGAUUGAAACUCAAAGGAAUUGACGGGGGCCCGCACAAGCGGAGGAGCAUGUGGUUUAAUUCGAUGAUACGCGAGGAACCUUACCCGGGCUUGAAAGUUAGUGACCGGCCUUGAAAGAGGCCUUCCCGCAAGGGCACGAAACUAGGUGCUGCAUGGCUGUCGUCAGCUCGUGCCGUGAGGUGUUGGGUUAAGUCCCGUAACGAGCGCAACCCCUAUCAUUAGUUGCCAUCAGGUCAUGCUGGGGACUCUAAUGAGACUGCCCGCGCAAGCGGUGAGGAAGGUGGGGAUGACGUCAAGUCAGCACGGCCCUUACGUCCGGGGCUACACACGUGCUACAAUGGGCUGUACAGAAGGAUGCUACUAGGUGACUAGAUGCAAAUCUCAAAAGCAGCUCUCAGUUCGGAUCGAAGUCUGCAACUCGACUUCGUGAAGCUGGAUUCGCUAGUAAUCGCGUAUCAGCAAUGACGCGGUGAUACGUUCCCGGGCCUUGCACUCACCGCCCGUCAGGGCGA